This 164-nucleotide ribosomal RNA is filed under the name Dendrobium aduncum. RNAcentral describes it as "5.8S ribosomal RNA". It matches the Rfam family "5.8S ribosomal RNA". Rfam says of the family: 5.8S ribosomal RNA (5.8S rRNA) is a component of the large subunit of the eukaryotic ribosome. It is transcribed by RNA polymerase I as part of the 45S precursor that also contains 18S and 28S rRNA. Lineage: Eukaryota; Viridiplantae; Streptophyta; Magnoliopsida; Asparagales; Orchidaceae. The record is from RNAcentral. RNAcentral also lists the same sequence under 1 other name.
GACACGACUCUCGGCAAUGGAUAUCUCGGCUCUCGCAUCGAUGAAGAGCGCAGCGAAAUGCGAUAUGUGGUGCGAAUUGCAGAAUCCCGCGAACCAUCGAGUCUUUGAACGCAAGUUGCGCCCGAGGCCAACCGGCUAAGGGCACGUCCGCCUGGGCGUCAAGC